RNAcentral lists this non-coding RNA (222 nucleotides) under Caulobacterales bacterium. Lineage: Bacteria; Pseudomonadati; Pseudomonadota; Alphaproteobacteria; Caulobacterales. The record is from RNAcentral.
GUUGAAUGUGUCCGUCGAGGUUCCCCGCGUCAGGCAUGGGGCGGGGCUAAGACGGGAAGCCGGUGAUGUCCUUCGGGGCAAACUCCGGCGCUGCCCCCGCAACUGUAAGCGGCGAGCGGCGGCCCCAAUUCGCGCCACUGAGUCCUCGCAAGGGGCUUGGGAAGGCCGGGGCUGUCGUGACGACCCGUGAGCCAGGAGACCUGCCUCCGACGCCAGAACGUU